This 256-nucleotide ribosomal RNA is filed under the name uncultured bacterium. Its description in RNAcentral is "partial 16S ribosomal RNA". It matches the Rfam family "Bacterial small subunit ribosomal RNA", at positions 524 to 776 of the family's 1533-position model. The record is from RNAcentral.
UACAGAGGGUGCAAGCGUUGUUCGGAAUUAUUGGGCGUAAAGGGCGCGUAGGCGGUGCCACAAGUCACCUGUGAAAUCUCCGGGCUUAACUCGGAGCCUGCAGGCGAAACUGUGGUGCUGGAGUGUGGGAGAGGUUAACGGAACUCCCUGUGGAGCGGUGAAAUGCGUAGAUAUAGGGAAGAACACCAAUAAAGGCGAAGGCAGUUAACUAUUCUAUUCCUGACAUUGAGGCAUGAAAGCGUGGGGAGCAAAACGG